RNAcentral lists this small RNA (51 nucleotides) under unclassified sequences. RNAcentral's name for it is "Streptococcus sRNA SpF59 (ldcC RNA)". It matches the Rfam family "Streptococcus sRNA SpF59 (ldcC RNA)". The record is from Rfam by way of RNAcentral.
AGACCACAUGAUUAUAUGUUAAGCCUUGCGGACGGGCGGGUCGGUUGCCGA